CAUGGUCUUCUGGGAAAGCCUUUGCGGCAUGGGAUGGGGUCGCGUCCUAUCAGCUUGAUGGCGGGGUAACGGCCCACCAUGGCUUCGACGGGUAGCCGGCCUGAGAGGGCGACCGGCCACAUUGGGACUGAGAUACGGCCCAGACUCCUACGGGAGGCAGCAGUGGGGAAUAUUGCACAAUGGGCGCAAGCCUGAUGCAGCGACGCCGCGUGAGGGAUGGAGGCCUUCGGGUUGUAAACCUCUUUUGUUAGGGAGCAAGGCAUUUUGUGUUGAGUGUACCUUUCGAAUAAGCACCGGCUAACUACGUGCCAGCAGCCGCGGUAAUACGUAGGGUGCAAGCGUUAUCCGGAAUUAUUGGGCGUAAAGGGCUCGUAGGCGGUUCGUCGCGUCCGGUGUGAAAGUCCAUCGCUUAACGGUGGAUCCGCGCCGGGUACGGGCGGGCUUGAGUGCGGUAGGGGAGACUGGAAUUCCCGGUGUAACGGUGGAAUGUGUAGAUAUC
Molecule: ribosomal RNA, 499 nt
Filed under: Bifidobacterium breve
Lineage: Bacteria; Bacillati; Actinomycetota; Actinomycetes; Bifidobacteriales; Bifidobacteriaceae
Description: bacterial SSU rRNA
Rfam family: Bacterial small subunit ribosomal RNA
Source: RNAcentral